AACCAUAGAAACCUGCGGAGUACCUGCGGAAGGAUCAUUACAGAGUUGCAAAACUCCCUAAACCAUUGUGAACGUUACCUAAACCGUUGCUUCGGCGGGCGGCCCGGGUCCUUCCCGGCGCCCAUCGGCCCUCGCGGGCGCCCGCCGGAGGUAAACCAAACUAUUGCAUUGUAUGGCCUCUCUGAGUCUUCUGUACUGAAUAAGUCAAAACUUUCAGCAACGGAUCUCAGAUCGGAAGAG
Molecule: unclassified non-coding RNA, 240 nt
Filed under: soil metagenome
Description: partial contains 5.8S ribosomal RNA, internal transcribed spacer 2, and large subunit ribosomal RNA
Source: RNAcentral